AGAACGAACGCUGGCGGCAUGCCUAAUACAUGCAAGUCGAACGAACUCUUCGGAGUUAGUGGCGCACGGGUGCGUAACGCGUGGGAAUCUGCCCCUUGGUUCGGAAUAACAGUUGGAAACGACUGCUAAUACCGGAUGAUGACGAAAGUCCAAAGAUUUAUCGCCAAGGGAUGAGCCCGCGUAGGAUUAGCUAGUUGGUGAGGUAAAGGCUCACCAAGGCAACGAUCCUUAGCUGGUCUGAGAGGAUGAUCAGCCACACUGGGACUGAGACACGGCCCAGACUCCUACGGGAGGCAGCAGUAGGGAAUAUUGGACAAUGGGCGAAAGCCUGAUCCAGCAAUGCCGCGUGAGUGAUGAAGCCUUAGGUUGUAAAGCUCUUUACCGAGAUGAUAAUGAACAGUAUCGGAGAAUAAGCCCCGGACUAACUCCGUGCCAGCAGCCGC
Molecule: ribosomal RNA, 443 nt
Filed under: uncultured soil bacterium
Lineage: Bacteria
Description: bacterial SSU rRNA
Rfam family: Bacterial small subunit ribosomal RNA
Source: RNAcentral